UUUCUAGAGAAGGAGUUUCUCUCGACAGAAGUGAGUGGGAGGACAGUAGAACUUGAUGAGGUAAUUCUACCUUCUCCCUUAUUGGAAAGUAGUUCAUCACAUAAAUCAGUUCCCGUGAUUCCUACACCAAUUAAUGAGGAAGGUAAUGAUGAUGACCAUGAAGCUUCAGAUCAAUUUACUACCGAACCUCAUAGGUCUUCCAGAGUAAGAUCCGCACCAGAGUGGUACGGUAAUCCUGUUCUGGAAGUCAUGUUACUAGACCAUGAUGAACCUACAAACUACAAGGAAGCGAUGAUGAGCCCAGAUUCCGUGAAAUGGCUUGAGGCCAUGAAAUUUGAGAUGGGAUCCAUGUAUGAGAACAAAGUGUGGACUUUGGUGGACUUGCCCGAUGAU
This 393-nucleotide ribosomal RNA is filed under the name Triticum aestivum (bread wheat). RNAcentral describes it as "partial small subunit ribosomal RNA". Lineage: Eukaryota; Viridiplantae; Streptophyta; Magnoliopsida; Poales; Poaceae. The record is from RNAcentral.